ACAAACUUGGUCAUUUAGAGGAAGUAAAAGUCGUAACAAGGUUUCCGUAGGUGAACCUGCGGAAGGAUCAUUGACAAGUCCGCUGUGCGCCAGGGUGGUCUUUUAGUUCUCUUGGCUUUGGGCAUUUGUCCAUUGGCUCGUGGCUUCUGGGCCCGGCGACACACGCCCCGUGCUCUGCACGCGACACCCUACCGUCUGACCGACGCCGAUCUGGAAAUGCAAACUUUUAACAAUGGAUCUCUUGGCUCCCGCAUCGAUGAAGAACGCAGC
RNAcentral lists this unclassified non-coding RNA (270 nucleotides) under uncultured fungus. Its description in RNAcentral is "partial contains small subunit ribosomal RNA, internal transcribed spacer 1, and 5.8S ribosomal RNA". The stretch from base 1 to 73 matches the Rfam family "Eukaryotic small subunit ribosomal RNA", at positions 1759 to 1831 of the family's 1831-position model. Lineage: Eukaryota; Fungi. The record is from RNAcentral.